Molecule: transfer RNA, 71 nt
Filed under: Labilithrix luteola
Lineage: Bacteria; Pseudomonadati; Myxococcota; Polyangiales; Labilitrichaceae
Rfam family: tRNA
About the family: Transfer RNA (tRNA) molecules are approximately 80 nucleotides in length. Their secondary structure includes four short double-helical elements and three loops (D, anti-codon, and T loops).
Source: Rfam by way of RNAcentral
GCGAUCAUGGUGCAGAAGCAGCACACGAGGAUGCCAGCCUCGAGACCUGGGUGCGAAUCCCGGUGAUCGCU